This is a long non-coding RNA of Orbicella faveolata, 1391 nucleotides long. The record is from RefSeq and is a predicted model, not a curated record. NCBI's taxonomy places the organism in Eukaryota, Metazoa, Cnidaria, Anthozoa, Scleractinia, Merulinidae.
UUAAUGUUGCAACCCCAAGAAAAAAGCAGAUUCUGUCAAAACCAAUGCAGAUGUGCUUUUAAGAAGCCACACAGGUCUACCACAAGACAUCGGAUUGGCAUAAAUGUAUGUCAGUUUCAAGGGAGUUAAUCAGACAUUAAUGUGAACCACAACAAGGGCAAUUUGUACAGAAUCUGCAAUUUUUACACGCUCUAAUAAUAUAUGGCCCUAACCCCUGUUAAGCUACAAUGCACAUUGAUAUGGUAAUUUUUGAGUAAGUAACAUAUCUUUUAAGGAAGACAGAGUGUAAUCAACUUUUUUUCACUACAACCAACCCCACUUGGAAUGCAAAGCUUUGAGAGCUUUGCACUGUUGCCAAUCAACAGAGUUUUGAAUUAACCUUUGACAUCCGCCUUUGCUAGUUUUCCUUCCCGAGGUGGAAAACUUUAUUAACAACAAUACAACCACAGUUAAAAGAGCUCCUUGAGUGAAACAUUAACCCUCAGUUCAACAUUUACGUCACACUCUUGGCAAUGUCUGCAAGCUUAUAGAGGCUUGUUAUAUCCAAGUUAGAUGAACCAUGGUUGUACUGUUGUCAACAAUUUUACCGUGCUGUUGUUGGCUUUAGCUGAUGUCAAAAGUUGUUAAAAGAGCUUGUGAGUGGCAACAGGACAAUCCCUUUCACAUAUCCUUUUCACUAUAUAUAAUAUAUCCUUAGCCCACACAAAAUUGUUAUUACAUGUAUAUUACUUGUUGUUAGUUAGUUGCACAUACUUGUAAAUGACACUUAGUUGGAAACUACAGCACAAGGAACAAGCAAUGACCAGUUAAUGACACCAUAACUGUCAACGCUUGUUACCUCAUUAGACUGUAGUUCAAAUUUGGUACCAUUUAAAAUAUAAGAGUUAUUAACAUUAGGCUCAGUGCUGUAAAGGGCUAACAUGCAAGCAACAAAGUAGAUUCUUUAAGCAUGUAUACAAGACAAGGACUCUGGAGCUCAGAGCUCAAGAUGCAAGCCACUAUCAGAGGUCAUUAUUUCUAAUACCAGUGACUGAUUUCUUCAACUUGAAAGAAAUCAGUUUUUGAACCUUUUUGGAAACCAGAUUGAUUCACCCACUUUGCAAGUAUUACACAUGAUACCAAGGUGAGAUUGUCUGUCAGUCAAUGAUUUUUCUUAUAAACUAGCUCUUCGAGAUUCAAGAAGAAAACACAUUACCCAGUAGUUGAGGUGUAACAGUUUCCACCAUGUAAUGAGAUGAUUUGUUCUUAAUUCAGUGACAAUAUUGCCCAACCAAGACGAUGAAUUUUUAACGCUUUGAGCUCAGAUGGCAUUUAAUACUCGAUAUUGACCAAUGAUAACACCAGCUUCAUAGCCGACCGGCCAGCAGGCAGAGUGACUGAAUUACACCACA